RNAcentral lists this ribosomal RNA (169 nucleotides) under uncultured bacterium. RNAcentral's name for it is "partial 16S ribosomal RNA". It matches the Rfam family "Bacterial small subunit ribosomal RNA", at positions 338 to 524 of the family's 1533-position model. The record is from RNAcentral.
CCUACGGGAGGCAGCAGUAAGGGAUAUUGCACAAUGGGCGCAAGCCUGAUGCAGCAACGCCGCGUGCAGGAUGAAGGGUUUCGGCUCGUAAACUGCUUUUCUGGGGGACGAUGAUGACGGUACCCCAGGAAGAAGUCUCGGCUAACUACGUGCCAGCAGCCGCGGUAAU